CAACCAUCCCCACAUCCCCCUUCUCUUUUGUCUGCUUUAUUACUACCAUCGCCAGACUUACCUCCAUAGCCAGCCACACCAGACCCUUCUUCUCCGGUUGCCACCAGCUCCAAAAAUAAAUUUGUCCGGUUCAAAUACAGUUGAGUCAAGCCCCCUCCAAACCCCCAUCAUCUGCCGACAAAGGAACCAUCUAAUAUCUUAAACCAAUAAGUUAAAGAUUCAGGUUCAAUAACGCCGGCGUUGCCAACCAAACGAGAUCAAAAUCAGUUAUAGUGCUCUGAAAUCAAGGGUUACAGUGUUACUCUCGUCAUUCUUCGGUGGUCCGACACAACGGUGACAAUUAUUAGAUGGUGGAGGUGGUGUAGUGGUGGUUGUUUUUGUGGUGGAGGUCAUGCGACGACAAAUCGAAAUCAGUAUAAAAACCGGAUUUUUCUGUUUCCAAUGAUGAUAGAUCUGGAGAUUUGAGGUUUGCUGGCGGAAAUAGGUUUUUUUUUUUUCCUUUUUUGCUAGCAGAAAUGGGUUGUGAACGAAUCAGAUUCUCUCUUUUGAUUUGUCUUCUACACCUGUCAGCCACCAAAUUGGGUGGAUGAGUUUCUCGAUUUCUCGUCGAUAAAGAGGAGCGUGCAUUGUCGGUCUGUGAACGAUCCAAUUGCCUUCAUCCAGGAAUGUCGCGAUUCUAACAGCACUGGAUUUUUGCGUUUCGAUGAUGAGCUGUUUAGUGAUGAUAUCACUACGAAUCUCCCGUCUUCAAAUCUGUCUUCGCCAUCGGAUCAAAACAGCCAUCACUACGAAUCUCUGUCAUCGUUAAAUCUUACGUUUCGAUGGUGGCCGGCCUCUGCAGAUUGGAGUAUGUGUAUUUGUGUUGAUAUGUUUUGGUUUAGGGUUUUUAUAACUUUAGAGGGGUUAUAAGGGAUGAGUCCACCUAGGCAAGCCACAUCACAUUAUUAUGACACGUAGGAUUAAAGAACUAACCCAGUUAGUGAUUAUUUAACGACGGGGUGACACAGCAACCCAAGUGUUAAGUUGAGAGUGGUGUGAGCCAAAGUCAAAGUUGAGAGUGCCAGCGGCCAAAUGGCAAUAGUUGAGUGUGUUUAAAUCCAUUAACCCUUUAUUUUUUGGGGGUACGAUAUGAGAAUUUUAACCAUAAUGUUAUAGGGUGUGAUCUGAAUAAUACACUAAUUUCCCCAGUAGGUUGUAGGACUUCGGGUGAUGAAUUGAUUAAUGAAACUCAGUCAUAUAUUAUCUUAAUUUCCCUAUUAUUGCAUCGAUUUCUCUAUUUUUUGUUAGGUGCUAACAUGCAGUCAUCGCCAUCACAUUCCAAUUUAAGGUAAGUUACUUUUUCACCUAUGUUUUUUUUAAACGGAGACUUUCUAUGUGUUUGGCCACGACACUCCUCAAAUUUAAGAGUUACGUUGCCUCACUCCGUCCAGACUAUGUUGUCUUAAUUGGGUCCACGCUGGUUUCCAAGUUUGGCUUGGGCGUUCCCCUGGGAAACCAUACCGCGGCUGCCACUUGACAGACCUUUGUGUCACCACAAGAACAGAACUCUCUGUCAUAACACACGGUGAGACGAAAACCCUGGUGGGCUCAGGAUUCGAAUUGACAACCUCGCACAAGUUGAAGUCACAUCCGGGAUUUUGUUUUGUACAAAGCUCCCAUCUAUGAGGCGUAACAUUCUGAAAUUUAUUGAUAUCUUCUCGGCGUACAUUGCUCCUUUCUCGCUUAUGAUGGUGUCAGAUCAGUCCCACAAACCUAACUGGAUGCCGUAUUUGCUCCUAGCGUACGGAGCUGCAUAUUUUGCGUGAUGAUGAUAAUGACUAUAUAUGUCAAGAAUCUCAACAAGAGUUCAUCGUUUUCUGUGUUUACUUACUUGGGACGUUUUCUUGUACCGCUCUUGCUUGUGUUGGUGUUAUAUGUCCCCAAAAACAUAAACUGGAUUGUGGAUUCAGUCCUAUAUUUAUCCCUUUGGAUAGAGGUUACACAUUUCCUUAUCUUCUUCUUCAACAAGAUAAGAACAACAAUGACUUGGAAGCCCAACUUAACAAGUGAUCCAACACGACAACAACAACAAUCAUCCUUGAGUUAAUUACGUGCGCGUUUUUAUUUUAGGACGUUUUGAUUACUAGAUGUUUGAAACCAUGUUAGUUUCAGUGAUUUUAAUCUAUACUUAUCCACAUAGUCAGUUCCAAAAACCCUUACGUAUUUGUAUACUUCUAUAGUUCAAUGGCAUAUUUAUUGGAUAUCAA
This is a long non-coding RNA of Helianthus annuus (common sunflower), 2246 nucleotides long. RefSeq lists it as uncharacterized. The record is from RefSeq and is a predicted model, not a curated record. The transcript is spliced from 2 exons. Lineage: Eukaryota; Viridiplantae; Streptophyta; Magnoliopsida; Asterales; Asteraceae.